AUGGUCCUUGCAGCGCAAAAGAAUGGUCUCAUUAAAGGAUUAGUUGCUGAUCUUAUUGAGAAUGGUGUUGGCAUCCUGCAAUACGCGGAUGACACGGUGCUCUGUUUUGAGCAUGAUAUUGACAAAGCUGUUAAUAUCAAACUCUUGCUAUAUCUCUUCGAACUUAUGUCUGGGCUUAAGAUCAAUUUUGAGAAGAGUGAGAUAUUCACUGGAUAA
Molecule: ribosomal RNA, 216 nt
Filed under: Triticum aestivum (bread wheat)
Lineage: Eukaryota; Viridiplantae; Streptophyta; Magnoliopsida; Poales; Poaceae
Description: partial small subunit ribosomal RNA
Source: RNAcentral